UUAGAAUGGGAAUUCUAUGAAUUUGCAAGGACAAUGAAUAGAGAUCUUUAUUGCCCAGCAGUUAUAUCUAAAACUUGUAGAAAUAUCGCGCCAGAAGGAGAAACACCUGUUUUGGGAUGUAAACCAGCGGAUUUGGAAUGUGUAGUUAAUGGGCUUGAUUCUUUCAAAAUGAAGAUCGACAGAGAUAUAAAGACAUUAAAAGCUAUAGAAGGAAAUUAGAUAAAUGAAGAAUCCGUGAAACAAUAAAAUUAUAUAUAAAUUGUUAUUUUAAAAUCUUAAACUGUCGUAAUUAUGAUAUUAUUAAAACAUGGGAUCCGCUUUAUAACAAUUUUUUUAAUAGA
This is a long non-coding RNA of Gordionus sp. m RMFG-2023, 341 nucleotides long. RefSeq lists it as uncharacterized. The record is from RefSeq and is a predicted model, not a curated record. NCBI's taxonomy places the organism in Eukaryota, Metazoa, Nematomorpha, Gordioida, Chordodea, Parachordodidae. The transcript has 11 exons.